Molecule: ribosomal RNA, 468 nt
Filed under: uncultured bacterium
Lineage: Bacteria
Description: partial 16S ribosomal RNA
Rfam family: Bacterial small subunit ribosomal RNA
Source: RNAcentral
GACGAACGCUGGCGGCGUGCUUAAUACAUGCAAGUCGAACGGAAAGGCCCUGCUUUUGUGGGGUUCUCGUGUGGCGAACGGGUGAGUAACACGUGAGUAACCUGCCCCUGAAUUUGGGAUAAAUUCAGGAAACUGGGGCUAAUACAGGAUAGGAGCUCCUGCUGCAUGGUGGGGGUUGGAAAGUUUCGGCGGUUGGGGAUGGAUUAGCAGGUUAUGCGCUUGCUGGUGGGGUAGUGGCUUACCAAGGUUUAGAGGGGUAGGCCGCCUGAGAGGGGGGACGGGCACAAUAGGCCUACGAGAGGGACCAGACUCCUACGGGAGGCAGCAGGCGGGAAUAUUGCGCAAUGGGCGGGAGCGUGAGGCGGCGACGCCGCGUUCGGGAUACCGGGCUUCGAGUUGUAAACCGCUGUGGCCUGUGACAAAGCGUGAGUGACGGUAAUUGGUAAGAAAGCACCGGCUAACUACGUG